This 21-nucleotide microRNA is filed under the name Homo sapiens (human). Its description in RNAcentral is "hsa-miR-6779-3p". Lineage: Eukaryota; Metazoa; Chordata; Mammalia; Primates; Hominidae. The record is from miRBase by way of RNAcentral.
AAGCCCUGUCUCCUCCCAUCU